This 722-nucleotide long non-coding RNA is filed under the name Onthophagus taurus. RNAcentral describes it as "uncharacterized LOC111422165, transcript variant X1". Lineage: Eukaryota; Metazoa; Arthropoda; Insecta; Coleoptera; Scarabaeidae. The record is from RNAcentral.
UAUCGACUGAAAUAUCGAUAUUAGAGAGAACCCGUUUAUUAUUUGAGAGAGAGAGUAGGAUAAAACUAGUUAGAACCGUUCUUUGAAAAUAACAAAUGGUCGAUGUCUUAAAUUGUCAUCAAACUCGUUAAAAAAAAAUAGAAUUAAAUAAAUGAACGUUAUUCAAGAAAAACUAAUAAAUCUUUACACACAAGUUAUGUUAAAUAAUAAAAUAAAAUUAUCAUCCGACUCACUGUGAAAAAGAAAGGAUUGGAGUUCAAUGUGGUAUCUGGAUUAUGGAUUGUCUCUUGUGUUCGGGGCACUAACUAAUUUUCUGGAUUGUCUACAGGAUUCUUCUUACGGGAAAUUGAACUGUUUGUUCUUCGGAAAUAGGGUCUUGGAUGAUCUCGAAGAAGUAUCGGUAGUUCUUGGAAUAGGUUGUAGGAUGAUUCUCUUUUUAUUUUAAUAUUACAUACAUUGGAGUACACGCCAAAUUUCAACAAUGAGUAAAGUUAGAAAAAUUCAAAUUUAAAUCAAGGAUUUCUUUCUCAAAAUAACGUUAAAACCUCAAAAGAUGGAUGAAAAAUGUGCUUUAGGAGCUGAACUAUAAUAAUUGAUACAUUUGGAAGUAAACAAAACGGUUUAAGAUAAGAUUUUCACCAACAAAAAAUCUCUCUGUCACAAAUUCUAGGUUAUGUUCUCUCGGUGAACUAAGAGAAUGUUAAAAUUAUUACAGUAUAUUA